RNAcentral lists this ribosomal RNA (816 nucleotides) under Bifidobacterium pseudocatenulatum. RNAcentral's name for it is "bacterial SSU rRNA". It matches the Rfam family "Bacterial small subunit ribosomal RNA", at positions 182 to 1007 of the family's 1533-position model. Lineage: Bacteria; Bacillati; Actinomycetota; Actinomycetes; Bifidobacteriales; Bifidobacteriaceae. The record is from RNAcentral.
CUCCUCGCAUGGGGUGUCGGGAAAGAUUUCAUCGGUAUGGGAUGGGGUCGCGUCCUAUCAGGUAGUCGGCGGGGUAACGGCCCACCGAGCCUACGACGGGUAGCCGGCCUGAGAGGGCGACCGGCCACAUUGGGACUGAGAUACGGCCCAGACUCCUACGGGAGGCAGCAGUGGGGAAUAUUGCACAAUGGGCGCAAGCCUGAUGCAGCGACGCCGCGUGCGGGAUGACGGCCUUCGGGUUGUAAACCGCUUUUGAUCGGGAGCAAGCCUUCGGGUGAGUGUACCUUUCGAAUAAGCACCGGCUAACUACGUGCCAGCAGCCGCGGUAAUACGUAGGGUGCAAGCGUUAUCCGGAAUUAUUGGGCGUAAAGGGCUCGUAGGCGGUUCGUCGCGUCCGGUGUGAAAGUCCAUCGCUUAACGGUGGAUCUGCGCCGGGUACGGGCGGGCUGGAGUGCGGUAGGGGAGACUGGAAUUCCCGGUGUAACGGUGGAAUGUGUAGAUAUCGGGAAGAACACCAAUGGCGAAGGCAGGUCUCUGGGCCGUUACUGACGCUGAGGAGCGAAAGCGUGGGGAGCGAACAGGAUUAGAUACCCUGGUAGUCCACGCCGUAAACGGUGGAUGCUGGAUGUGGGGCCCGUUCCACGGGUUCCGUGUCGGAGCUAACGCGUUAAGCAUCCCGCCUGGGGAGUACGGCCGCAAGGCUAAAACUCAAAGAAAUUGACGGGGGCCCGCACAAGCGGCGGAGCAUGCGGAUUAAUUCGAUGCAACGCGAAGAACCUUACCUGGGCUUGACAUGUUCCCGACAGCCGUAGAGAU